GGAUUCCCCUAGUAACUGCGAGUGAAGAGGGAAAAGCUCAAAUUUAAAAUCUGGCCGCAAGGUCCGAGUUGUAAUUUAGAGAAGUGCUACCCGCGCUGGACCGUGUACAAGUCUCCUGGGAUGGAGCGUCAUAGAGGGUGAGAAUCCCGUCUUUGACACGGACUGCCAGGGCAUUGUGGUGCGCUCUCGAAGAGUCGCGUUGUUUGGGAAUGCAGCGCAAAAUGGGUGGUAAAUUCCAUCUAAAGCUAAAUAUUGGCGAGAGACCGAUAGCGAACAAGUACCGUGAGGGAAAGAUGAAAAGGACUUUGGAAAGAGAGUUAAACAGUACGUGAAAUUGCUGAAAGGGAAACGCUUGAAGUCAGUCGCGUUGGCCGGGGAUCAGCCUUGCUUUUGUGAGGUGUACUUCCUGGUCGACGGGUCAGCAUCAGUUUUGACCGCUGGAAAAAGGCAGGGGGAAUGUGGCAGCUCUGGCUGUGUUAUAGCCUCUUGUCGUAUACGGCGGUUGGGACUGAGGACCGCAGCUUCGGCUUAGGAUGCUGGCAUAAUGGCUUUAAGCGACCCG
RNAcentral lists this small RNA (562 nucleotides) under Marasmius sp. 7061001. RNAcentral's name for it is "eukaryotic LSU rRNA". It matches the Rfam family "Eukaryotic large subunit ribosomal RNA", at positions 72 to 651 of the family's 3401-position model. The record is from RNAcentral. Lineage: Eukaryota; Fungi; Basidiomycota; Agaricomycetes; Agaricales; Marasmiaceae.